RNAcentral lists this transfer RNA (84 nucleotides) under Felis catus (domestic cat). It matches the Rfam family "tRNA". Rfam says of the family: Transfer RNA (tRNA) molecules are approximately 80 nucleotides in length. The record is from Rfam by way of RNAcentral. Lineage: Eukaryota; Metazoa; Chordata; Mammalia; Carnivora; Felidae.
GCUCAAUCAGUUAAGUGUCUGACUCUUGACUUCAGCUCAGGUCAUGGAUCUCAUGGUUAGCAGGUUCGAACCCUGCAUUGGGCU